AGGGCACCACCAGGAGUGGAGCCUGCGGCUUAAUUUGACUCAACACGGGAAAACUCACCCGGCCCGGACACUGGAAGGAUUGACAGAUUGAGAGCUCUUUCUUGAUUCAGUGGGUGGUGGUGCAUGGCCGUUCUUAGUUGGUGGAGUGAUUUGUCUGGUUAAUUCCGAUAACGAACGAGACUCUAGCCUAUUAAAUAGAUCGUUGGCUUACAAACGCCGGCGAGACUUCUUAGAGGGACAGGCGGCGAUUCAGCCGCACGAAACAGAGCAAUAACAGGUCUGUGAUGCCCUUAGAUGUCCGGGGCCGCACGCGUGCUACACUGAAGUGAUCAGCGUGCAUUCUGAAACCUACUCUGUCAAGAGUGGGGAACCCAAUGAACCUUCUUCGUGACUGGGAUAGGGGAUUGUAAUUAUUCCCCUUGAACGAGGAAUUCCCAGUAAGCGCGAAUCAUAAGUUUGCGCUGAUUACGUCCCUGCCCUUUGUACACACCGCCCGUCGCUACUACCGAUUGAAUGUUU
Molecule: ribosomal RNA, 519 nt
Filed under: uncultured eukaryote
Lineage: Eukaryota
Description: SSU rRNA
Rfam family: Eukaryotic small subunit ribosomal RNA
Source: RNAcentral